Molecule: non-coding RNA, 24 nt
Filed under: Arabidopsis thaliana (thale cress)
Lineage: Eukaryota; Viridiplantae; Streptophyta; Magnoliopsida; Brassicales; Brassicaceae
Also listed under: 2 other names
Source: RNAcentral
UACCACAGGGAUAACUGGCUUGUG